CUUUCUUUGCUGGCGACCGGCGCACGGGUGAGUAACACGUAUCCAACCUGCCCUUUACUCGGGGAUAGCCUUUCGAAGGAAAGAUUAAUACCCGAUAGCAUAAUGAUUCCGCAUGGUUUCAUUAUUAAAGGAUUCCGGUAAAGGAUGGGGAUGCGUUCCAUUAGGUUGUUGGUGAGGUAACGGCUCACCAAGCCUUCGAUGGAUAGGGGUUCUGAGAGGAAGGUCCCCCACAUUGGAACUGAGACACGGUCCAA
This 254-nucleotide ribosomal RNA is filed under the name uncultured bacterium. RNAcentral describes it as "partial 16S ribosomal RNA". It matches the Rfam family "Bacterial small subunit ribosomal RNA", at positions 79 to 334 of the family's 1533-position model. The record is from RNAcentral.